CCCUUAGAUGUUCUGGGCCGCACGCGUGCUAUACUGAGUGGAUCAGCGGGUCAGGUUGCGCGAAAGCGUUUCCUAAUCUUUAAAUCCGCUCGUGAUGGGGAUUGACGGUUGCAAUUUUCUGUCAUGAACGAGGAAUACCUUGUAAGCGUGGGUCAUCACCCCGCGCUGAAUACGUCCCUGCCCUUUGUACACACCGCCCGUCGCUCCUACCGAUUGAGUGGUCCGGUGAGGCUUUGGGAUCUGAGCGGAAAGAGCGUUUCGCUGUUUCUGCUCGGAAAACUCAGUCGAACCUUAUCAUUUAGAGGAAGGAGAAGUCGUAACA
RNAcentral lists this ribosomal RNA (322 nucleotides) under uncultured eukaryote. Its description in RNAcentral is "partial 18S ribosomal RNA". It matches the Rfam family "Eukaryotic small subunit ribosomal RNA", at positions 1470 to 1796 of the family's 1831-position model. The record is from RNAcentral.